GGCAGGGCUUGAGAAUCUGCCUUUUAACAAAUUCUCUAGGGAUGCAGAAGCUGCUGGAGCUGGGACCACACUCUCUGCCAUCACCAGAAUCCUUUCCUGAAAGGUACAACACUCAACGCUUCACCACGAUGGCCAGAGAGGGCAGUGUGCACCCACGGGAAAGGCAAAGGCAGAAACGCUGCAAAUCCCUUCACCAUUGGAGGAGGCGCUACCAGCCCCUACCCUAUCCAGCUCGAUUUUAUCAAGUUCUGCAGGUAAAGCGGUGUGACAGAUCUACGCGAUUUCAUCCGGGGGUGCUCUCGGAUGCACGGUCAGUAGCAUGCUGACAACCUUACCGUAGUGAGGGCGCAAUCCGACAACGGCAGAAAAUUCAGAUAAGCAACACGAUCAGAAAUCCUAGUGUGCAUACGGUUUAUCACGAAAGAGUAAAAACAUUCCUUUCCCAGGAAUGACUGUAAAAAUUAGGAGUUAGAGAUAUGAAAGCCACAGGAUGAAUUUCAGAGUUGUUUUCAAUUGUAAUAAAGAAAUCACUACGGAUUUACGGUUUGUGAAAUAUUCAUCAGCUAGAAAGUCCUAGGUUACCUUAGUACAAGCUGUAGAUACGUUUACAGUGGGGUAGUUAAACGUUUCGAA
RNAcentral lists this long non-coding RNA (633 nucleotides) under Homo sapiens (human). RNAcentral's name for it is "HSALNT0385617". The record is from RNAcentral. Lineage: Eukaryota; Metazoa; Chordata; Mammalia; Primates; Hominidae.